RNAcentral lists this long non-coding RNA (253 nucleotides) under Ananas comosus (pineapple). Its description in RNAcentral is "long non-coding RNA (ACOM_LNC023077)". The record is from RNAcentral. Lineage: Eukaryota; Viridiplantae; Streptophyta; Magnoliopsida; Poales; Bromeliaceae.
UUUUUUUUUACAUAUCUGAAAGUUUAAAAAUACAAGAUUAAAACAGAGAAAUGAGAUAUUAAAAUAUUGGGAUCAGGAGAUUAGGGGAAUGAGAUAUUAGAAAUUAAUAUUAUAAUUUAAUUUAUCAAUAUAAAAUAUAAUAUAUUAAAAAAUUUUGAUAUCCAUAUUUAUUUCAUUUUUUUAAUAUUCGAAUAAUUUUUUACUAUCUAAAACUAUAAAUGAUCAGGAUCAGAUCUGGAUAUUUUUUUAUUCG